GCGGCACACUGCUUUAUAAAUGUAUGCGUGACUUCCGCUCUGUCUCUCUGUCUGCUGGAAGCAUGCUCUGCAGAUGUCUGUCCGGCUCGGUGGUCCGUAAGACAGGCUGGGUCCCGGACUGAACACACUUGAAGGCAGAGCGACCGCCAUGGGAUAGGGCUACCAACCUCCUGCCUUGCCUUUGGCACUAAAGGAGGAGCCUCUGAUGAGCUGCUCAGUGCAGAGCUGACGGGUCACGCUGCAGGCUGACUGAGGGUGCAUGUGGAGCAACUGGCCUGCACGGGGCAAAACAAGGGACUGAGUCUCACCCUCAGGCUGGCUGAAUGAGUGGAGAAGUUCCUGUUCAGUCAACGUGCUGUGCUGCUGAUGGUCAUGUUUAAGCCCUGUCUACUCAACCUGACUGAGGUUGAGGCUGUAAAUAGAACUUCUGUACAUUUUGUUGGAUAAUGUCCUGAAGUCAUCACUGAUAUCUACAUGAAAUGAUGUCAGCCUUAAUGAAUAUAAAAUCUGGUCUGAAUGAAGAAGAAAUGUGUAUAUAAAAAGUGAUCUUGCGUCACCUUGAUCAUC
Long non-coding RNA from Dicentrarchus labrax (European seabass), 567 nucleotides. RefSeq lists it as uncharacterized. The record is from RefSeq and is a predicted model, not a curated record. NCBI's taxonomy places the organism in Eukaryota, Metazoa, Chordata, Actinopteri, Moronidae. The transcript has 5 exons.